CGCCUCUCAGGAUCAUACCUGGAGAGUUUCCAGUCCUCUACCAGUCUCGGUUAAGGGAGGGAGAGUCAAGCAGAGGCCUACCCAUUCUAUUCCUAGCUUGGCCAGUGGCUAGCGAAUGGAAGGCACCCUGCUACAAGU
Small nucleolar RNA from Ornithorhynchus anatinus (platypus), 138 nucleotides. Lineage: Eukaryota; Metazoa; Chordata; Mammalia; Monotremata; Ornithorhynchidae. The record is from RefSeq and is a predicted model, not a curated record.